Molecule: microRNA, 29 nt
Filed under: Strongyloides ratti
Lineage: Eukaryota; Metazoa; Nematoda; Chromadorea; Rhabditida; Strongyloididae
Description: str-miR-8382-5p
Source: miRBase by way of RNAcentral
UGGAAUUCUAAGAAGCGAAACAAGAUAAU